This 266-nucleotide ribosomal RNA is filed under the name Endocarpon sp. CH100084. RNAcentral's name for it is "partial 18S ribosomal RNA". Lineage: Eukaryota; Fungi; Ascomycota; Eurotiomycetes; Verrucariales; Verrucariaceae. The record is from RNAcentral.
UUUGUUGAAACGGGAUCCACCCCGGAAGCCUUCUGACGCAACGACUAUAACCGUGCGUCCAGUCUGGAAAUAGCGCUUUCCAGGCGACGUCGCCCCUGUGCUGGGACCCGUAACUGUCAGUUAUGGCGGACCAGCAGCCAGUUUUCUGGUUCACAGAUUAAGUGGUGGCGGUCUCGGGGUUUAUCAAGCCGGGAUCAAGAUAUAAUCGGUUCUCUUAUCUCACAGAGGUGACAUGUUCCGUAGGUGAACCUGCGGAAGGAUCAUUA